CCAGAUAUAGAUGGAAUAUAAUCCAUAAAGGUGGUAUUCUUAAAGAACUAUUUUACGGUACACAAUACUACCAUUUAGUGAUAUAUUGUAUAUAUAAAAUCUGAUCGUUUAUUACGAUGGAUAAUUUAAUAAUUAUUACUUUUAGACUUUAUGCUAGUGUAAAAAACUCUUAUAGCGAUGCCAUUUAUAUUUUUUUACCAUGAUACCCUUGUACUACCUAUACUACUCAUGUAUACCCAUACCAUAGGUGAAGUUUUCACUGGUAUACAAUUAAUCUUUUGACCGUUAGAUGUUUUUAUACUAGUCCUUCU
This 311-nucleotide long non-coding RNA is filed under the name Setaria viridis. Its description in RNAcentral is "long non-coding RNA (SVIR_LNC003506)". Lineage: Eukaryota; Viridiplantae; Streptophyta; Magnoliopsida; Poales; Poaceae. The record is from RNAcentral.